UGCGGGGUGGAGCAGCCCGGUAGCUCGUUGGGCUCAUAACCCAAAGGUCACAGGUUCAAAUCCUGUCCCCGCAACCA
This 77-nucleotide transfer RNA is filed under the name Micavibrio sp. Its description in RNAcentral is "tRNA-Met". It matches the Rfam family "tRNA". Rfam says of the family: Transfer RNA (tRNA) molecules are approximately 80 nucleotides in length. Their secondary structure includes four short double-helical elements and three loops (D, anti-codon, and T loops). Lineage: Bacteria; Pseudomonadati; Bdellovibrionota; Bdellovibrionia; Bdellovibrionales; Pseudobdellovibrionaceae. The record is from RNAcentral.